GACGUAGGGGGCCAGCGUUGUUCGGAAUUACUGGGUGUAAAGGGUUCGUAGGCGGUGUAGCAAGUCGGGAGUGAAAUCUCUGGGCUUAACCCAGAGGCUGCUUCCGAAACUGCUGUGCUUGAGUGUGGGAGAGGCGCGUGGAAUUGCAGGUGUAGCGGUGAAAUGCGUAGAUAUCUGCAGGAACACCCGUGGCGAAAGCGGCGCGCUGGACCACUACUGACGCUGAGGCACGAAAGCGUGGGGAUCAAACAGG
This 253-nucleotide ribosomal RNA is filed under the name uncultured bacterium. Its description in RNAcentral is "partial 16S ribosomal RNA". It matches the Rfam family "Bacterial small subunit ribosomal RNA", at positions 524 to 776 of the family's 1533-position model. The record is from RNAcentral.